GACGAACCGAGCGAACGUUAUUCGGAAUCACUGGGCUUAAAGGGCGCGUAGGCGGGCGGCCAAGUCAGGGGUGAAAGCCCCCAGCUCAACUGGGGAAGUGCCUCUGAUACUGGCCAUCUCGAGGGAGGUAGGGGCGUGCGGAACUUCCGGUGGAGCGGUGAAAUGCGUAGAUAUCGGAAGGAACACCGGUGGCGAAAGCGGCGCGCUGGACCUCUUCUGACGCUGAGGCGCGAAAGCCAGGGGAGCAAACGGG
Molecule: ribosomal RNA, 253 nt
Filed under: uncultured bacterium
Lineage: Bacteria
Description: partial 16S ribosomal RNA
Rfam family: Bacterial small subunit ribosomal RNA
Source: RNAcentral